Molecule: long non-coding RNA, 699 nt
Organism: Papilio xuthus (Asian swallowtail)
Lineage: Eukaryota; Metazoa; Arthropoda; Insecta; Lepidoptera; Papilionidae
Exons: 3
Source: RefSeq, a predicted model, not a curated record
AUUCUGAAACGUCACUCAAAUAUCUACUUUCGUAAGCAGUGCUUAUAAUUUAAGAGACGUCAAAACUUAAGUGGAAUUCACAAACGCAAAUCAAGACAUCUAAGCGCGUGAUUCCAAUGGAAUGCACCGGACAUUAUUGUUUAUUUUGAUAUUGUGAUUUACGAGAAAAUACAGGUAAGCAGAACACAGUAUAUGGGUUUUUUGGUGAAUUCAAUAACAGUUUUUAAUUUUCGGAAAAUUGGCACAUAGAAUUGAGACAUAAAACAACUUUCAGUGGUUUUAGAAGACGGAAAUGUUUCUGAAGAUGGUUUGGAAGAUGAAAGUGAAGAUGACGAAACCUUUUUAGCUUAUGCAAGAGAGAUAAUUCAAGAGAAAGAAGACGAGGAUGCAGAGGAUCAUGAAGAUCCUACCUAUAGCGAUCCACCACUGGUUCAAGAUUGUCCUGACUCAUUGAGUAAAAUUAUUUCUUCAUUAUCCAUGCACGAAGGUCAUGAAUAUUUUGUAGUUUGAUUAAAGGAAACUUGUUUGGAAAAAAGACAUUUUGUAUGAUAUUGUAUGAUGAAUCAAAAAUAAUUUGCCAACCAAGUACAACAGACUCUGCUAUAACUGAACUUGAUACACCAUAUAAAUGUUUUUUGCAUUACUUUACACCAGAGUUUCUUAAAAAAUUGUUGAUGAAAUUAACUUAUAUGCAGUGCA